Dioscorea cayenensis subsp. rotundata (Guinea yam) is the source of this 399-nucleotide long non-coding RNA. RefSeq lists it as uncharacterized. The record is from RefSeq and is a predicted model, not a curated record. NCBI's taxonomy places the organism in Eukaryota, Viridiplantae, Streptophyta, Magnoliopsida, Dioscoreales, Dioscoreaceae. The transcript is spliced from 3 exons.
UUCUUUCUCUCCAAACUCUCUUAUCCUUGAAACAACUCAACCUUGGCCGAAUUUUGGUGUCAUUUUCUUUUCUCUUUAUGCUUGGUUUUUGAGUGGAACUUGUCACCAACAAGCUUAGAGAUCCAUACCGAGCUGUAGUUCGCGGGACUUGGUGAACCCAACUCUGUAGCUCGGAGCCAAGAGAAGAUCAAGUUUAGGACUGGGGGGUGUUAGAGAGUCGUAUUGUCUGCGUUAUCAGUAUCUUGUUAUUACCUUUUUGUGAGUGUAAGACUUGUAUUCUGACUGUAUUUGUAAUUUGUGAGCUGUUGGGUUGUAUUUGUAUUCUGUAGGGCUGCUAAAGUCCGUACUUGUAGUAUUUUAAAUUUCCAGUAUCCUAUUUGUGCUUUUGGGUUCUGUUCA